AUGCGGCUACAUCAUGUUGAAACACUGGUUCCCGUACGAUCACCGAAGUUAAGCAACGUCGAACCUGGUCAAUACUCAGAUGGGUUACUGCUUGGGAGUAGCAGGGGCU
Acanthosepion pharaonis is the source of this 109-nucleotide non-coding RNA. NCBI's taxonomy places the organism in Eukaryota, Metazoa, Mollusca, Cephalopoda, Sepiida, Sepiidae. The record is from the annotation of a GenBank genome assembly.